UACAGAGGCUGCAAGCGUUGUUCGGAUUCACUGGGCGUAAAGGGUGCGCAGGCGGCCAAGUGUGUUAGGCGUGAAAGCCCGGAGCUUAACUCCGGAAUUGCACCUCAAACUACAUGGCUAGAGCAUUGGAGAGGGUAGCGGAAUUCACGGUGUAGCAGUGAAAUGCGUAGAUAUCGUGAGGAACACCAGAGGCGAAGGCGGCUACCUGGACAAUUGCUGACGCCCAGGCACGAAAGCGUGGGGAGCAAAAGGG
This 253-nucleotide ribosomal RNA is filed under the name uncultured bacterium. RNAcentral's name for it is "partial 16S ribosomal RNA". It matches the Rfam family "Bacterial small subunit ribosomal RNA", at positions 524 to 776 of the family's 1533-position model. The record is from RNAcentral.